ACAUGGGGUAGCUCAGUGGGUAGAUCACGAGACUUUUAAUCCCAGGGUUGUGGGUUUGUGCCCCAUGCUGGGCA
Podarcis lilfordi (Lilford's wall lizard) is the source of this 74-nucleotide non-coding RNA. The record is from the annotation of a GenBank genome assembly. NCBI's taxonomy places the organism in Eukaryota, Metazoa, Chordata, Lepidosauria, Squamata, Lacertidae.